GAUGAACGCUGGCGGCGUGCCUAAUACAUGCAAGUCGAGCGAACAGACGAGGAGCUUGCUCCUCUGACGUUAGCGGCGGACGGGUGAGUAACACGUGGAUAACCUACCUAUAAGACUGGGAUAACUUCGGGAAACCGAAGCUAAUACCGGAUAAUAUAUUGAACCGCAUGGUUCAAUAGUGUAAGACGGUUUUGCUGUCACUUAUAGAUGGAUCCGCGCCGCAUUAGCUAGUUGGUAAGGUAACGGCUUACCAAGGCAACGAUGCGUAGCCGACCUGAGAGGGUGAUCGGCCGCACUGGAACUGAGACACGGUCCAGACUCCUACGGGAGGCAGCAGUAGGGAAUCUUCCGCAAUGGGCGAAAGCUUGACGGAGCAACGCCGCGUGAGUGAUGAAGGUCUUCGGAUCGUAAAACUCUGUUAUUAGGGAAGAACAAAUGUGUAAGUAACUAUGCACGUCUUGACGGUACCUAAUCAGAAAGCCACGGCUAACUACGUG
This 497-nucleotide ribosomal RNA is filed under the name uncultured bacterium. RNAcentral's name for it is "partial 16S ribosomal RNA". It matches the Rfam family "Bacterial small subunit ribosomal RNA", at positions 28 to 507 of the family's 1533-position model. The record is from RNAcentral.